This 142-nucleotide small nucleolar RNA is filed under the name Xenopus laevis (African clawed frog). RNAcentral describes it as "Small nucleolar RNA SNORA64/SNORA10 family". It matches the Rfam family "Small nucleolar RNA SNORA64/SNORA10 family". From Rfam's summary of the family: This family belongs to the H/ACA class of small nucleolar RNAs (snoRNAs) which act as guides in the the modification of uridines to pseudouridines. This family includes the human snoRNAs U64 and ACA10 and mouse MBI-29. Lineage: Eukaryota; Metazoa; Chordata; Amphibia; Anura; Pipidae. The record is from Rfam by way of RNAcentral.
CUUCUCUCAGCUCUGCUCAGUUACGCUUGUCCUGUAGUGUAAUUGGCUUUAAUAACAGAGAGAGAAAGUGACUUGUUCUUUUAUGCACGGCAGGUUGGCCUCACAACAUGGUCUUCCUGUUCCUUUAUGAGGAUCUACAGGC